GUGGAAGGAAGCAAGGCCUCGCCAAAGAUGGUUGAGAAAGACCGUGAGCCUCUACCCAGGCAGGAUCUUGAAGCCAAGGUGGUGUUCUGUUCUCCUCGUAAUGGUGGCAAUAAGUAAGAAGAGAGCACGCUAUCUUCAGAGGAAUUAAAUCUGAAAUUCUCCCUGGAGGUGGAAGAAGGGGCUCUCCUCUGGCAUGCACGCCAUUGGAAGGUUAAAACGACAGAGAAGCCUCCAUGUUAAGCUAAUUGUGCUGACACUGGAAAUAGGACAAAAUGGGAAGAUGUGAAAAAAUGUCACCAUUACCUCUUAAAAAGGCACACUCUUGUUUAAUCCUACCCUGAAGACACUAAUACCAGGGGAGUAGCACUGAAGACCCAGCGGAGGAAGCAUUCCUAGCCUGAAAACAAUGCCAGCACUCUGUGUGUUGAGUUUCAACUUUACCUGGCCUUGGUUUCAUUUGAAAGGAAGCCUUUUUAAUUCACCCAAAGGUGUGAUCCACGCCAGGGGGCGUGGUGGCUCACACCUGAGGAUCUUGCGAGUUCGAGACCAGCCUGGGCUGCAACGUGAACUCAAGGCCAGCCUGAACUGCAUAGUGAGACCCCGUCUCAAAAAAAAAAAAGAAAAAGAAAAAGAAAUAAAGGUGUGAUCCGCAAUAAGAAUAUAAA
Cavia porcellus (domestic guinea pig) is the source of this 665-nucleotide long non-coding RNA. RefSeq lists it as uncharacterized. The record is from RefSeq and is a predicted model, not a curated record. The transcript has 4 exons. Lineage: Eukaryota; Metazoa; Chordata; Mammalia; Rodentia; Caviidae.